RNAcentral lists this unclassified non-coding RNA (296 nucleotides) under fungal sp. RNAcentral describes it as "partial internal transcribed spacer region". The stretch from base 1 to 46 matches the Rfam family "Eukaryotic small subunit ribosomal RNA", at positions 1786 to 1831 of the family's 1831-position model. The record is from RNAcentral. Lineage: Eukaryota; Fungi.
AAGUCGUAACAAGGUUUCCGUAGGUGAACCUGCGGAAGGAUCAUUAAUGAAAUGAAAGUUUUUUGGGGGUUUCCCUGAAAAAUAAUUCACCAUUUGUGCAUUGUUAUUAGAUAUACUUUGGUUAGAGCUUUGGUUCCAAAAACAUUUGGAAUCAACUUCUUGCUAACUCUAUCCCUUCUGAGGACAGUUCGCUAUGAAGCGGCCUACCAAGGUUUUUUAUCAAACUCUUGUAUUUUGUCUGACCUAAAAUAUCAAUAAUUAAAUCAUAACUUUCAACAACGGAUCUCUUGGCUCUC